GAUGAACGCUGGCGGCGUGCUUAACACAUGCAAGUCGAACGGAGUGGCGAACGGGUGAGUAACACGUAGGUGAUCUGCCUUUCACUUCGGGAUAAGCUUGGGAAACUGGGUCUAAUACCGGAUAGUGGGAGAUGAGCUUGCGGCCUAUCAGCUUGUUGGUGGGGUAAUGGCCUACCAAGGCGGCGACGGGUAGCCGGCCUGAGAGGGUGUGCGGCCACAUUGGGACUGAGAUACGGCCCAGACUCCUACGGGAGGCAGCAGUGGGGAAUUUUGCACAAUGGGCGGAAGCCUGAUGCAGCGACGCCGUGUGGGGGAUGAAGGCCUUCGGGUUGUAAAGCACUUUUGGCAGGAAAGCGGUACCUGCAGAAUAAGCACCGGCUAACUACGUGCCAGCCGCCGCGGUAAUAC
Molecule: ribosomal RNA, 408 nt
Filed under: uncultured bacterium
Lineage: Bacteria
Description: partial 16S ribosomal RNA
Rfam family: Bacterial small subunit ribosomal RNA
Source: RNAcentral